GUAACAGUUUUGGAGAGUGAAGCCCUCUGUUUAUCCACAGAGCUGAUACAGCCUGGGCAGUGGCAGGGCAAGUUUCCCGCACGGUGCCCUGACUGUGAUUUUUAGGGUGUGUGUCCACAGCAAAUGAAUGUGUGAUUGUAGUAUGUGUGUGCUUACUCACAGGAGCCUUAAUCUAGCUAAC
Molecule: unclassified non-coding RNA, 181 nt
Organism: Chelonoidis abingdonii (Abingdon island giant tortoise)
Lineage: Eukaryota; Metazoa; Chordata; Testudines; Testudinidae
Source: Ensembl